UAGUGAAGGUUGUCUAUCACAAUCGCGUUAAUUGAAUUCUUGGCAAUUGUAUCAUGCAUUCAUAGUUAUAAUUGCCUUGUCAACACUUAUGAUUUUCAUUGAACGUAAUGAUCUCUGAUUGUAUCUCUAUUAUGCGUUCAUAUAGGGGACUUUUAGAGAAUGAUUUGGGUUGUCACAUGCAUUCAUCCAAUUCAAUGAGUAAAGGAAAAUCUGAGGGUUAAUUUGUGCAUCACGGUUAAUUUGGGGUGUUGAGUAUCAUAGUUUAUUGAAAAGCAAUUGGAAAUCGAUUCAUGUACAAGUGUGUCAUGUGUGAAGAAUGGACCUCUAACUAAUCCAUCCAUUUUAUUUCUCAAAUUCAUUUUAUAAUCUGCCUAGUUUUAUAACUUGCUUGUUUAUUUCAAAUUCAUCCAAAUCAAAACCCCAAUUUUACUUUCUUGUUUCAAAGUGUUAAAUUUCGGUUUUGUUUGUGUUUUAGAGUGUUUUGAUUUAAGUCAAAACACUAAAUUCGUCCAAAGUUGUGUUAGAGUCAAAUAUGCCCAGUUUGUGUUUUUAGGCAGUUUUGAGUGUUUUUAAGUUGUUUUGAGUCUUUAGAAUCUGUUUUGAGUCCCUUGAGUCUAUUCAAAUGUUUUUAACUUUGUUUUUAUGCUUUUGAGUAAGUUUAGAGGUUUUAGCAAGCCCUCCUAAUCCCCAGUUUAGAACGAUCCCUACUUGCAUUUAUACUACAAUUUGACAACAAGAGGGUUUAAUUUGAGUGCUUAACUUUCAUCGCAUCACUAGGCUUUGAAUUUCAUGGGUAAUGUUUUGUUUUUGAGUGCAUACAAGCAUGAUUCCGCCUUUAAAUGUUAAUUGCAUGCCAUAGAUGUUGCUCAAAUGAACAUGUUUUUCACAAAAUUUCCUUCAAGUGGUACCAGAGCCUAGGUCUAGUAGUUGGUGAAUCCUUUUGGGUUUUGUAGUUCAUAGUCUUUGAUUUGAAUGUUGUAAUUGUUACAAGCUUUAUUCUUGCUUCUUUGAAUGUAAAUUUUGUUAGAAAAAUUGCCAUCUCAAAUAUUGUAGAUAUAGUUCAUAUGAGCAUGAAUUUUGGAUCUAAAAUUUGGUGCCAUGUUUUUGGGGAAAUUCGGCCAAAUCCAAAGGGUGGUUUUUUGGGUUCUUGUUGGAACCCCUAAGUACCCUAGGAUGUUAACCCCCUUUUGAGUAGUGAAAUUUUGAAUUUUAUUGAGUGAAAAC
RNAcentral lists this long non-coding RNA (1224 nucleotides) under Malus domestica (apple). RNAcentral describes it as "long non-coding RNA (MDOM_LNC003753)". The record is from RNAcentral. Lineage: Eukaryota; Viridiplantae; Streptophyta; Magnoliopsida; Rosales; Rosaceae.